GACGAACCGAGCGAACGUUGUUCGGAAUCACUGGGCUUCAAGGGCGCGUAGGCGGGUUCUCAAGUCCGGGGUGAAAUCCCACAGCUCAACUGUGGAACUGCCUCGGAUACUGGGGGUCUCGAGGGUGGCAGGGGUAUGCGGAACUAUCGGUGGAGCGGUGAAAUGCGUUGAUAUCGAUAGGAACUCCGGUGGCGAAGGCGGCAUACUGGUCCACUUCUGACGCUGAGGCGCGAAAGCCAGGGGAGCAAACGGG
This 253-nucleotide ribosomal RNA is filed under the name uncultured bacterium. RNAcentral describes it as "partial 16S ribosomal RNA". It matches the Rfam family "Bacterial small subunit ribosomal RNA", at positions 524 to 776 of the family's 1533-position model. The record is from RNAcentral.